This 252-nucleotide ribosomal RNA is filed under the name uncultured bacterium. RNAcentral's name for it is "partial 16S ribosomal RNA". It matches the Rfam family "Bacterial small subunit ribosomal RNA", at positions 524 to 776 of the family's 1533-position model. The record is from RNAcentral.
UACGGAGGUUGCGAGCGUUAUCCGGAUUUAUUGGGUUUAAAGGGUGCGUAGGCGGAUCGUUAAGUCAGUGGUCAAAUUGAGGGGCUCAACCCCUUCCCGCCAUUGAAACUGGCGAUCUUGAGUGGAAGAGAAGUAUGCGGAAUGCGUGGUGUAGCGGUGAAAUGCAUAGAUAUCACGCAGAACCCCGAUUGCGAAGGCAGCAUGCCGGCUUCCGACUGACGCUGAAGCACGAAGGCGUGGGGAUCGAACAGG